Molecule: long non-coding RNA, 641 nt
Organism: Hemicordylus capensis (graceful crag lizard)
Lineage: Eukaryota; Metazoa; Chordata; Lepidosauria; Squamata; Cordylidae
Exons: 2
Source: RefSeq, a predicted model, not a curated record
CGAAUGCACGUGCGGGAUUUAGCCGCCGCCAGUCACCACCAGGAUGAAAAACAAACCAGAAGAGCGAGAGAGAAAGGGAGUGCAGGGACUUGGAAAGGAGCUCUCUGUAAGCUCCAUCAACAUGAAUGGAAGUGCACAGCAACCAGGCUUGAGAGAUGUUCCCUAAUCAUGUAAGACUCGUUUAUUCAAUGGAAACAAACAAAAAGAUGCAAGUGAAAUGAUACUACUUGAUCAGGUCUAUGAAAACUGAAGAAAGUUGGAAUGGGUGAGUGGCACUAGUGGCUCCGAGUUCACUGGAGUGACAAGAAGCAAAAAGGAGGACAGGGCACUUCUACAAGAAAAGAGGUCGUUCAGUAGGUGCUCAUCCCCAUUACUGAUUCUGCUCGGCUUGACCUCUGCCGUGAUCCUGACCUCUGGCUACUUGUUCACUCUCGAUUCCUGACCAUCUGACUGGUGUAUUCUUGAUUUCUGGCUACCAGUUUAUCUUCUCAUUCCUGACAUUCUGCUUGGCUUGUCCUCUGGUGUGUUCCUGAUUUCUGACUACUGUUUUCAACCCUGAUUGCUGACUGGUUGCCUGGCUCUCCUCAUCCCAGCUUUGAGACUUGUGCUACCUAGUGAAUAAAAUAAGUUUAUUGUUGUAA